AUGGAGAGUUUGAUCCUGGCUCAGGACGAACGCUGGCGGCGUGCUUAACACAUGCAAGUCGAACGAUGAAGCCCAGCUUGCUGGGUGGAUUAGUGGCGAACGGGUGAGUAACACGUGAGUAACCUGCCCUUGACUCUGGGAUAAGCGCUGGAAACGGCGUCUAAUACCGGAUACGACCUGCCCCGGCAUCGGGUGCGGGUGGAAAGUUUUUCGGUCAAGGAUGGACUCGCGGCCUAUCAGGUAGUUGGUGAGGUAAUGGCUCACCAAGGCGACGAUCCGUAACUGGUCUGAGAGGAUGAUCAGUCACACUGGAACUGAGACACGGUCCAGACUCCUACGGGAGGCAGCAGUGGGGAAUAUUGCACAAUGGGCGAAAGCCUGAUGCAGCAACGCCGCGUGGGGGAUGACGGCCUUCGGGUUGUAAACCGCUUUCGCCUGUGACGAAGCGUGAGUGACGGUAAUGGGUAAAGAAGCACCGGCUAACUACGUGCCAGCAGCCGCGGUAAUACG
RNAcentral lists this ribosomal RNA (510 nucleotides) under Rhodella violacea. RNAcentral's name for it is "partial Bacterial small subunit ribosomal RNA". It matches the Rfam family "Bacterial small subunit ribosomal RNA", at positions 1 to 527 of the family's 1533-position model. Lineage: Eukaryota; Rhodophyta; Rhodellophyceae; Rhodellales; Rhodellaceae. The record is from RNAcentral.